ACUCCUACGGGAGGCAGCAGUGGGAAUAUUGCACAAUGGGGGAAACCCUGAUGCAGCCAUGCCGCGUGUGUGAAGAAGGCCUUCGGGUUGUAAAGCACUUUCAGUGGGGAGGAAAGGUUGUUGGUUAAUACCUAACAGCUGUGACGUUACCCACAGAAGAAGCACCGGCUAACUCCGUGCCAGCAGCCGCGGUAAUACGGAGGGUGCAAGCGUUAAUCGGAAUUACUGGGCGUAAAGCGUGCGCAGGCGGUCUGUUAAGCGAGAUGUGAAAGCCCCGGCUGC
This 282-nucleotide ribosomal RNA is filed under the name uncultured bacterium. RNAcentral's name for it is "partial 16S ribosomal RNA". It matches the Rfam family "Bacterial small subunit ribosomal RNA", at positions 335 to 610 of the family's 1533-position model. The record is from RNAcentral.